Astyanax mexicanus (Mexican tetra) is the source of this 2808-nucleotide RNA transcript. It is a transcript of the gene named oligosaccharyltransferase complex subunit 4 (non-catalytic), with no coding region annotated. The transcript has 4 exons. NCBI's taxonomy places the organism in Eukaryota, Metazoa, Chordata, Actinopteri, Characiformes, Acestrorhamphidae. The record is from RefSeq and is a predicted model, not a curated record.
GAACGCUGCACCAGAGUUGUGUGGUGACGUGUCUCAGGGUUUUAGCGAGGCUGUUAGCCGGCUAGCUGGUCCUAGCAACACAGAGCAGUGUUUCUGUUAGCGCUGUUUGCAGCCCGCUCUAAACACCAAACACCAAAACCAACGCCUUCAUCCAGCCAUGGUGACAGACGUGCAGCUGGCUAUUUUCGCCAACAUGCUUGGAGUCUCCCUCUUCCUGUUGGUGGUGCUGUACCACUACGUAGCUGUGAACAAUCCCAAGAAAAUCGAGUGAUUUUCCUACGGAGAAAACUGCUAAGGGAUCACAGGGACCACUGGUAGAAACAGAAAGAGGAAAACAUCAUCUGUAAAUGUAUUUUCUAAAAUAAAUGUUAAUUCAUUUGUAAAUGAAUUGUUUUGACCCAUUUUCAUCUUUGUGUAAAUGUAUAUACUACCAAAAUACCAUUGAAAAUUGUACUUGCGUUCAAUGUUUAUAGGGAGUUACAAGAACAUAUAUAGCCGCAAGUGGCAAUUGGUGGUCCAAGCAGUUACAUAGCUUAGCAACAAAAAGAAUUUUGAGAAUAGGCCUUAUGGUUCAGAAGAUAUGGAUCUAAAUGUGUGUGACUCGCAAUCAGGAAAUUCCCAACUCAUUAACCGUUAGCAAUUAGCAUCGGCUAGCGGUUAGCAUUGGCUAUCAGUUAGCCUAGAUUAGCAGUUAGCAUUGGCUAGCGGUUAGCAUUGCCUAGCGACUAGCAUUUACUAGCGGUUAGAAUUGCCUAGCAAUUAGCAUUGCCCAACGUUUAGCAUUUACUAGCGGUUAGCAUCACCUAGCGAACAGCAUUGGCUAGUGAUUAGCAUGUGCUAUCACUUUAGUGCAUUCCUACAAGUGUUAAAACAUUUUCAUAACUGACAACUCAAACAACUCAAAACUGGUUAUUUAUUUCCCUCAUUUCUCUUCCAAAACAUCUAAACCUAAACACAGCAGGGGGAACUCCCCCCUAAUAGAGAUUAAGCUAAGCUAGCAGAACACAGGAGCUUCUGCUCUGACUCACCGGAGCUCGCUUUAAACACUUCAAAUACUCACUGAAAACUGCUUCUCUUCAGGGUUUACAGCUGUAUUACUGAUAUAAGAACAGCUUAUUAGUCUUAAUGUAUAAUAGCGGUGUGACGAGAUCUCGUGUCAUAAGAUCUCGCGAGAUUAAAACGUCUCGUCAAGCUUAAACCUGUCUCGCGAAAAAAAAAAAAAACAGUAGGUGACUGUUUCAUAGGCAGGUGUACUAAUCCCUUAGCUCUGUACUGUAUUUAAAAAAAAAAAACGUUUCUGUUUGCACUUCAAGCAUAGCCCUAAUAUGACUGGUUAUAGUUAUGCAUAGUUAAAUUACAAGAGAUUUAGGAGAAAAACACCAACCAUAGUCUUAAUAUGACUGGUUAUAGUUAUGCAUAGUUAAAUUACAAUUUAGGAGAAAAGAACACAAACCAUAUGCUUAAAAUGACUGGUUGUGGUUUGCACUUAUUGUUUGCACUAUAUAAGACCUAGAAAAGUUUUAUUUUUUUUUUAUUCUUAUUUCUAUUUCUUACAGAAUCAAUGUGUGAGAGAAACCAGUCUUUUAAGUUUGCAUUAUAUGAUUUUUUCAAAUAAAACUCUAGUUUUCAAGCCAUUUUUCUUUUUUUUUUCUUUUUUUUAAUCUCGUCUCAUCUCAUUCUCGUGAAACCAGUAUCGUGUCUCGUCUCGUCUUGUGAUAUUCGUGUCUCGUCACACCCCUAAUGUAUAGCAAUAGGCCCUUUUUCACACUUACACAUUCUUUCAUCCGGAAGCAGCUGUGAACGGGUAACACUAGUUCUGGUAAACAGUGAUGGCAAAAUCCAAUAAAAAGAGCUUUUGCAGUGUACCUAGGUGUUCAAACUCGAAACAAAAACAACGUAUCUUCGUUUCCAUGGUUUUCCGGCUGACGUUGAGCAGAGGAAAAAAUGGGUGCGUGCGAUUAGGAGAGAUGAAGCGUCAGCGAAGUAUCUUUGUGUGUAGCAUGCAUUUCACUGCUGCAGACUACAUAGAAAGAAGCCCGGGACUGAAAGCUGGUGUUGUCCCCCUCAAAGGACGUCAGCAUUUGAGAGAGCAAGCUCUCGGCGUGGAGUACCGUGUCCACCGGAGUCGGAGGCUGUGGAAAACCCUAGAAUUUGCGCUAAUGACCAUGACUACGCAGCUCGCCCUCCUGCCGGUAUGUAUAUGUGAUUACAUACGUUACCUACCUAAUUGCUAUUCAGAAUAAGCUGGUUAGACUAGUAAGACCAUUUUUUUUGAUGGUUCAACCACCAGUUUGAUGGUUCAAGUGGGUUACAAGCAUGAUAAUUCUGACCAAGAUACACUUACAGUAUAACCAACCCUGACUAUGAUGUGUGACUGCUUGUCAAGAGCUGGCUAACAAGCUAUCCUAUACUGGUGCGUUGGAAGAUGACCUGCAAUACAUUGAAAAGCUGGAGAACAGGUUGCAGAAAACGUCAAAGGGGUCAUCAAGCAUCCUGGCCAGAUUUUGUGUUUCUGAUGAGACCAUCAGGUACUACACCAGAUUUCCUUCUCAGCAUGUGUUUGAGCUUUUUUGGGAGUCCAUUGCUCCAUCUGCCACACAUCUAAUCUACUGGACAAAGGCACAAAGAAUGGGAGAAGCAGCAAUCCCAACACCAAGCCCUGCACGGAAGAUCCACCUCCUAGAUGAAUUGUUUAUCUAUUGCCUUUGUGCAGCUUCUGGACUGAAGGAGCAGGUGAUUGCUGACAUCUGUGGAGUAAGCAUAGCUACAGUCAGCAAAAUAAUUAUUACAUGGGCAAAUUACCUGUUU